AGUAAUAUAUACCAUAACGUGCCUCUUAGUCUGGGAUAGCCAUUGGAAACGAUGAUUAAUACUAGAUAUUCCUUCUCUUUAUAGUAAGAGUCGGGAAAGGAAAGCCUUUGGGUUUUUCGCUAAGAGAUCGGUCUAUAUCCCAUCAGUUAGUUGGUAGGGUAAUGGCCUACCAAGGCAAUGACGGGUAGCGGGUUUGAGAGGAUGAUCCGCCACACUGGUACUGAGACACGGACCAGACUCCUACGGGAGGCAGCAGUGAGGAAUAUUGCACAAUGGAGGAAACUCUGAUGCAGCAACGCCGCGUGGAGGAUGACGCAUUUCGGUGUGUAAACUCCUUUUAUAAGGGAAGAAAAUGACGGUACCUUAUGAAUAAGCACCGGCUAACUCCGUGCCAGCAGCCGCGGUAAUACGGAGG
This 415-nucleotide ribosomal RNA is filed under the name uncultured bacterium. Its description in RNAcentral is "bacterial SSU rRNA". It matches the Rfam family "Bacterial small subunit ribosomal RNA", at positions 109 to 531 of the family's 1533-position model. The record is from RNAcentral.